GCACUCGUAGCUCAGUGGAUAGAGCAUUGGUCUCCGAAGCCAAAUGUCGAGGGUUCAACUCCCUCCGAGUGCACCA
RNAcentral lists this transfer RNA (76 nucleotides) under Anaerosphaera multitolerans. Its description in RNAcentral is "Anaerosphaera sp. GS7-6-2 tRNA-Arg". It matches the Rfam family "tRNA". Rfam says of the family: Transfer RNA (tRNA) molecules are approximately 80 nucleotides in length. Their secondary structure includes four short double-helical elements and three loops (D, anti-codon, and T loops). The record is from RNAcentral. Lineage: Bacteria; Bacillati; Bacillota; Tissierellia; Tissierellales; Peptoniphilaceae.